UGUGAGGGCUCGGGGCUGUAAGGACUUGGGGGUCUGUGAGGAGAGUGCGAGGGCUCGGGGGCCCUUGAGGGUUCUGGGACUGUGAGGGCUCAGGGGGUCCAGCCGUUGUGAGGAGGCCAUGAAGGUCCAUGGGGCUCUGAGGGGUUGGGAGGCUGUAAGGACUUGGGGGCUGUGAGGGCUUGGAGGUCUGUGAGGGAAUUGUGAGGGCCUGGGGGGCCAUGAGUGGUCUGGUGCUGUGAGGGCUCGGUGGGUCCAGCAUUUUGAGGGAGCCAUGAAGGUCCAUGGGGCUGUGAGGGCUCGGGGGGCUGUGAAAGGUUGUGGGGCCGUGAUGGCUCUUGGGCCAGGCUGAGCAGUUCAGUGCCAGCUCCCCUGUGCUGUGAGGGGAGUGCCCCUGUGAGGGGGUCUGUGUGAGAGGUGCUGGAAGGAGUCCAGGAACUCUUGGAGCAGCCCCGGAGACCCUGAGAGGAGCCCCAGAGCAUCAGGAACCUGAGAGGAUCCUGGGACAGACCUGUGUCAGCCUCAGAGGUGCCCAGGGAGACACACACAGCUCAUCCUUCACAUCUGAAACCAGAAUGCAGGAGGUUUAUGCAGUUUCCUUUGAGAUAGCUGAGUAAUGCAGAGCCAUUAGGGUCCAGAUUUAUCCACUAAUUACAGGCAUUGAUUGAAUAGCAAACUCUGGGCUGUCUUCACACUGGAAUCGGUGAAAGCGUUGCCUUGGCCCACCCCAGCUCAGCACCACUGACAACACAUUUCUGUUCUCUGUAAUGGUGUUUGAUGUGACCAAUUCCAAAAACUGCAGCAUCAUUUAAGUAUCAGAGGCAGCCAGGAUAAAUCUGGGCAGGACUUGCUCAAGAUUUCAUACAAGGCUGUACUAAUCAGUAAAGACAGCUUUUCCUCCAGGAUGUGAUGCCAUCUCUUCAGAGCAGUGCACAAAAGGAAUACAGUCUUCUUUCUGAUUAAAGGCAGGGAAUGUAGAAUGCCUUGCCUGUGUCGUGCUCUCCAGGAAAGUACAUUCAGCAUCAAUUCUCAUCAGGUGUGCUCAGCACAGCGUUCAUAAAUGUGUGCAUUCAGGAAGCCCUGGAAAACCCUCCCUAAAAUGGAGCAGGGGAGCCACUGCAGGGCUCGGAUGAUGUUUCCUGGUGCAGGUGCUGCUGGAUUUAAUGCAGAUACAGUUGGGGUUUUUUUCUGCCAGGGCCAGAAAGCAAAGGCCUGCACAUCAGUGCCAUCUAUUUCCUCACUUCCUUAGCAAUCCUGAGCCUUUGUGCUUCCCACAGCCUGUGCCUCAGCCAGUGCUGCCUUUCAUGUUUGGGAAGCUGCUCUGUAAUGUGUGGAGUGAGCAAUGUUUGUCACCCCAAGCAUUCCCAGAGGCAGUGUGAGAGUGGGAACGCUCUGCUCAGUUAAGGCUCCAAUACCUGUCUCCAGAACACCAGCAGGAUCUCUCCUGCAGAGAGGGGUAGGACCCUGUGGAUGGUUAAAUUUUGAGCUUCCACAGGUUUCCCUGGGAGAUUCAGCCACCUGAAUAUCUGUGGGAUAGGAGACAUUUCCAAUUAUUUGUGCAACAUUUAUUUUUGCUAAUUCUAGCCCAGCCAGUGAGUACUUCUGUUCUUAGCUACGUGCACAUCCACAGGAAAUGACAAUUCUAUCUUAAAUUUUUUUGCAUUUAAAAAAAAAAUGCCAGUACUUUUAAGCUCUCUGUGAGAAGGAACACAGGAGUCUGAGCCAGGAAUCUCCACAGAGAGCUGCUGGAGCUGCCGACCAUCUCAGCCCUGUGACUUCUAACACUGUAGCACCAAUUAGCGCGUGCCAGAAGGUGAGCUGGCAAGUGCCACAGCAGGUCUGUGCCAGAACCUUGGCUCACAUGAAGCAUUCCUCCCAAGGCAAACCUCUGCAUGAACCUCUGAGCACUGGGCAUAUUCUAGGAGAAAAAGUUGCACGUUCCCUGGUCCUGCCUGAGCCAAAUGCUGAAGUGUGUUUGUGAUGGUCGCUGGUUUGGUGGAGAGGCUGCAGCUGGGUGGAGUGGGGAACGUUGGAAAGCAAAUGGGAGGGCAGAGAAGGGAAUAGCUCAAGCAAGGUGGUUCCCACAUCGUGUUUUCACUGAAGACAUCUGUCUUAGCUGGUAUUUGAUUUCUUUGAAAGCUCUCCAAACCACUGCGAGCAACGAGCAAGGGGGUUUCACCUCAUUUGGGGGCUUCUACACUUCCCAGCUGUAAGUUUGCUGCAUCAAUUAAUGCUGUAACAGGGUACUAGAAAACAUCGGGGGCCACUGUUAUGAGGCCAAAGACUCUGGGUAUUACCCGUAGAAAAACAUGAUAAUGAAGUUAAAGCUGACUUGGAACUUGC
This is a long non-coding RNA of Pipra filicauda (Wire-tailed manakin), 2340 nucleotides long. RefSeq lists it as uncharacterized. NCBI's taxonomy places the organism in Eukaryota, Metazoa, Chordata, Aves, Passeriformes, Pipridae. The transcript is spliced from 2 exons. The record is from RefSeq and is a predicted model, not a curated record.